CCUACGGGAGGCUGCAGUGAGGAAUAUUGGUCAAUGGACGAGAGUCUGAACCAGCCAAGUAGCGUGAAGGAUGACUGCCCUAUGGGUUGUAAACUUCUUUUAUAUGGGAAUAAAAUGUUCCACGUGUGGGAUUUUGUAUGUACCAUAUGAAUAAGGAUCGGCUAACUCCGUGCCAGCAGCCGCGGUAAUACGGAGGAUCCGAGCGUUAUCCGGAUUUAUUGGGUUUAAAGGGAGCGUAGGUGGAUUGUUAAGUCAGUUGUGAAAGUUUGCGGCUCAACCGUAAAAUUGCAGUUGAAACUGGCAGUCGUGAGUACAGUAGAGGUGGGCGGAAUUCGUGGUGUAGCGGUGAAAUGCUUAGAUAUCACGAAGAACUCCGAUUGCGAAGGCAGUUCACUGGACUGCAACUGACGCUCAUGCACGAAAGUGUGGGUAUCGAACAGGAUUAGAUACCCCGGUAGUC
Molecule: ribosomal RNA, 460 nt
Filed under: uncultured bacterium
Lineage: Bacteria
Description: partial 16S ribosomal RNA
Rfam family: Bacterial small subunit ribosomal RNA
Source: RNAcentral